This 398-nucleotide ribosomal RNA is filed under the name uncultured bacterium. RNAcentral's name for it is "bacterial SSU rRNA". It matches the Rfam family "Bacterial small subunit ribosomal RNA", at positions 28 to 429 of the family's 1533-position model. The record is from RNAcentral.
GACGAACGCUGGCGGCGUGCUUAACACAUGCAAGUCGAGCGGUAAGGCCCUUUCGGGGGUACACGAGCGGCGAACGGGUGAGUAACACGUGGGUGACCUGCCCUCAGCUCUGGGAUAAGCCUGGGAAACCGGGUCUAAUACCGGAUAUGACUCCAUGACGCAUGUUGUGGGGUGGAAAGCCUUGUGCGGCUGAGGAUGGGCCCGCGGCCUAUCAGCUUGUUGGUGGGGUGAUGGCCUACCAAGGCGACGACGGCUAGCUGGUCUGUUAGAGGACGACCAGCCACACUGGGACUGAGACACGGCCCAGACUCCUACGGGAGGCAGCAGUGGGGAAUCUUGCGCAAUGGGCGAAAGCCUGACGCAGCGACGCCGCGUGAGGGAUGACGGCCUGGUGUAAC